GGGGUUGUGGCUCAGAGGUAGAGUGCUCGCCUGGCAUGUGUGAAGUACUGAGUUCUAUCCUUAGCACCACA
RNAcentral lists this transfer RNA (71 nucleotides) under Marmota monax (woodchuck). Its description in RNAcentral is "tRNA.Ala". It matches the Rfam family "tRNA". Rfam says of the family: Transfer RNA (tRNA) molecules are approximately 80 nucleotides in length. The record is from RNAcentral. Lineage: Eukaryota; Metazoa; Chordata; Mammalia; Rodentia; Sciuridae.